GACGAACGCUGGCGGCGUGCUUAACACAUGCGAGUCGAACGGAAAGGCCCUGCUUUUGUGGGGUUCCCGGGUGGCGAACGGGUGCGUAACACGUGAGUAACCUGCCCUUCACUUUCGGAUAACUUCAGGAAACUGGGCCUACUCCCGUAUAGGAUCUCCUGUUGCAUGGUGGGCAGUGGAAAGUUUCGGCGGUUGGGGAUGGACGCGCGGCUUAUCAGCUUGUUGGUGGGGUAGUGGAGUACCCAGGCAGUGACUGAUAGGCGGCCUGGGAGGGUGACCGGCCACCAUGGGACUGAGGUAGGGACCAGACUCCUACGGGAGGCAACAGUGGGGAGUAUUGCACAGUGGGCGGACGCCUGAUGAAGCAACGCCGCGGUCGGAAUGACGGCCUUCUGGGUAUAAACCGCUUUCGCCUGUGACGAAGCGUGAGUGACGGUAAUGAAUAAAGAAGCACCGGCUAACUACGUG
This 468-nucleotide ribosomal RNA is filed under the name uncultured bacterium. Its description in RNAcentral is "partial 16S ribosomal RNA". It matches the Rfam family "Bacterial small subunit ribosomal RNA", at positions 28 to 507 of the family's 1533-position model. The record is from RNAcentral.